CGGGCGGUGGCGCAGUCCGGUAGCGCACUUGAAUGGGGUUCAAGGGGUCGGAGGUUCAAAUCCUCUCCGCCCGACCA
Molecule: transfer RNA, 77 nt
Filed under: Chloroflexota bacterium
Lineage: Bacteria; Bacillati; Chloroflexota
Description: tRNA-Pro
Rfam family: tRNA
About the family: Transfer RNA (tRNA) molecules are approximately 80 nucleotides in length. Their secondary structure includes four short double-helical elements and three loops (D, anti-codon, and T loops).
Source: RNAcentral